Molecule: non-coding RNA, 86 nt
Organism: Microbotryomycetes sp. JL221
Lineage: Eukaryota; Fungi; Basidiomycota; Microbotryomycetes
Source: the annotation of a GenBank genome assembly
GCCUGCGUGGCCAAGCGGUUACGGCGCUGCACUUGUAGUAAUUCUACGUUAUGCAGCGAUCGGCGGUUCAAAUCCGCCCGUAGGCU